Non-coding RNA from Salmo salar (Atlantic salmon), 680 nucleotides. Lineage: Eukaryota; Metazoa; Chordata; Actinopteri; Salmoniformes; Salmonidae. The record is from RefSeq and is a predicted model, not a curated record.
GUAUUUUACGAAUCCCUCUGCUUAAGCCUAUCAGAAACGAGUAUUCAACAAUGUCUUGGUAAAAUUCAAGGAUAACGUCCAUGUCACUUCAGUUGCGUCUGUUGACGUUUCACCCAUGUGCUUUUAAAGGGACUAUCAGUAUUACCUCCAAAUAGCCUGCUACAAUAGGCUACACACCCAUGUCUGACGAUACCACGAGCAUGAAAUGGGAGUAUACCCCUGACUAUCAAAAGGAAGUUGGGGAGGAUAUGAAGGAUGAAACAGAGACUCAUGAGACCAAAUACAACAGGACAGGAAGCAAGGCUUAACGUAAGUCCAGUGGAGGUGGCAAGAAGAAUUCGGUGAAGGAGGACAGCAGCAUUUGUGCAGGGUCUUCUAAUGCACCCAGGUGUAGUUUCCAGGACAGGGAAUCUAACAUUGAGCAGCUGGAGAAGGAGCCUCAGAGGACUCUAAUGCCUUCUCUCAAUAUUGGGACAAGCUGUGCCCCAGUCCUCCUCCUUCCUGAGUAGUCUAACUAAUGAGUAAGUCCCACGUCUUUCUCCAACCUCACAUACAACUCUGAAUUUGCAGUCAUAAUGUGCCUUCUAACUACAAAUGUGAUUUCAACCACGACCUUAACCAUACCCCUAUCUCUAUCCCUAAAUCAAGAACAAAAUGUCUCCUAUACUUAAUGGCUUAAU